GACGAACGCUGGCGGCGUGCUUAAUACAUGCAAGUGGAGCGACGAACCAGGCUUCGGCCUGGGGCAGAGCCGCGAACGGGUGAGUAACACGUGGGUAACCUGCCUCGAUGACCGGGACAACCCGGGGAAACCCGGGCUAAUACCGGAUGUGCUGUCCCCACAUCAGUGGAGACAGGAAAGGAAGCUUCGGCCUCCGCAUCGAGAUGGGCCCGCGGCCCAUUAGCUUGUUGGUGUGGUAACGGCUCACCAAGGCUGCGAUGGGUAGCUGGUCUGAGAGGACGAUCAGCCACACUGGGACUGAGACGCGGCCCAGACUCCUACGGGAGGCAGCAGUAGGGAAUCUUGCGCAAUGCGCGAAAGCGUGACGCAGCAACGCCGCGUGGGGGAAGAAGGCC
RNAcentral lists this ribosomal RNA (395 nucleotides) under uncultured bacterium. Its description in RNAcentral is "bacterial SSU rRNA". It matches the Rfam family "Bacterial small subunit ribosomal RNA", at positions 28 to 416 of the family's 1533-position model. The record is from RNAcentral.